CUCUUCCGAUCUGGGUUCUGGAUUAGGUAGGAGUACCCGCUGAACUGAAGCAUCUCAUUAAGCGGAGGAAAAGAAACUAACUAGGAUUCUCUUACUAAAGGCGAUCGAAGAGAGAAGAGCUCGAAAGCUUAAUCCCUUUCGGGGGAAAUGUAGCUGGAUCAUCUUUGCAACGCUGACAACUUUCCUGGAAACGUUGGGCGAUACAGAGUUCAAGCCUCGUACAUGCAGCACCGCAAGCAUGAUGGUCUAAAACGAGUCGGGUAGCUUGAGAUUGCUGCCUUAAGAUGGGUGGUAUGCCUCAUCCAAAGCUAAAUAUUGUAAGGAGACCGAUAGAGUACAAGUAGUGUGAACGAACGAUGAAAAGAAUUCUACGACAGAGAGUGCAAAGCGCCUGAACUUGUCUAGGAGUCAGCAUCUUAGAUGCGCCCGUCUUGUAACACGGAUUAGGGAGUUUAACUGCAGUGCGAGUUUCCGCUUUAGAAAAGCGAAGGCGAAAAGAGAAUGACUGGCUCAUUAGAGCAUGGCGUCUGAGCACUGGUGUUAGAACCCGAAUGGUGGUGAACUAUGCCUGCACAGGACGAAGCCAGGGGAAACUCUGGUGGAGGUCCGUAGCGUUAUUGAUGUGCAAAUCAUUUGUCAGAUGUGGGUAUAGGUGCGAAAGACUCAUCGAACCACCUAAUAGCUGGUUUCCUCCGAAGUUUCCCUCAGGAUAGCCGCAAUGCUUUUAGUUAAGGGGGGUAGAGACAUGGGUAGAGGUCUAGGGGAUCUACGGAUCCUCAGCCUAUUUCCAAACUUCGAACCUUCUUGUUACUAGCUUAUUUCCGAAUAGGAAGCUGGUAAAUGAAUAUGCGUUGCGAGUGGGCUCGGACUGGUAAGCGGUCCUGGCGAAAAGGGAUGAACCUAACGUAUGGAUAAGGUGCCUAAAUGUACUACCAAUGAUACCAUUAAAAGAGUCCAUGUAUUAAAACAGCAGGUCGGUGUCCCUAAAAGCAGGCAUCCGUUAAUGAGUGUGUUAAAACUCCCCUGCCGAAUACUAGGGCCUUGAAAAUGAAUGGCGCACAUAGUACUACCGAUACCAUACACAUGCAGCUGAUGCAUGGAGUAGGGGGACAUGAACAUUAUCAACGAAGGCAUCUCGUAAGAGGUGUUGGAGAAGUGUUUAUUGCACAUCCUAAUUGAAGUAGCGUUUAUCCAGGUUAACAUCCUGGAGGCUGAUGAGGAGUAGGGUUUCUGGGCAACAUACACUGUCCCAGAGUUAGUCGGUCCUGAUCCCAAUAAUGGUGAGAAAGGGAACACGGUUGAUAUUCCGUGACUAGUAGCAGGGAGUGGCAACACAGAGGAAACGUUUUCCGUCGAUUAGAUACCGAUUAUUAGGGAUCUCUUUCCUAAAUGACGGUGUGCGUGUGCUAGGAAUCAGGUCAACUGGAGAAUAUUUGCAUGCGUACCUGGCAAAAUGCUGAUUCGUCAGCAUUAAGGGCUGUCUGAUUGAUCCAUGAAGCAAGCGUUUUUAGUACUGCGCUAGGCGUACCGAUGACCGCAUCAGGUCUCCGAGGUGAGUAGCCUAUGGCCAUUGAGGUGUGGUAGUUCAGGGAAUUCGGCCAAUUGGAGCUGUAACUUCGGGAUAAAGCUUGGCUCUGAUGGAAAUCAGAACUGAUUGUUACAAGGAGAGCCCAACUGUUUAAUAAAAACGCAGUGUCGCGCUGAAGUCAUACAGCUUGUGAACGCGACAUGAAUCCUGCUCAGUGCUGUGUCUGUUAAAGUGGUUCAAGCCAACGAAGCACCGGUAAAUAGCUGGGGUAACUAUGACUCUUAUCAAAGUAGCGAAAUACCUCGUCACUUAAUUAGUGACCUGCAUGAACGGAGCUAUGAGGUUCUCACUGUCCCAAACUAUCUCUCAGCGAACCAACAGUUGUGGGAACGGGCACAAGUUAUCCAGCGGGGAAAGAAGACCCUGUAGAGCUUCACUUUGGUCUAGUCUUGUAUGGUUUCGUCAAGGGUGCAGUCUAGGUGGGAGAGCAAUCGAAUAUGAGAAACCACUACCUUGUCUGGAAUUAUGCUUAUCUCGAAAGAGAGAUAUGGCUAGAUAGAAAGUUUGGCUGGGGCGGCACACCUUCGAAAAUGCAGCGAAGGUGUCCUAAGUUGAGCUCAGUGAGGACAGAAAUCUCACGUCGAGGAUAAGGCCAAAAGCUCAAUUUACUGUGCCUUUUUGUACUAGGACCAGUUUGGAAACAAAGGCCUAACGAUCCCUAAUUAGUGGUAAGUGCGUACCACUUGGGGUGACAGACAAGUUACCUCCGGGACAACUGGCUUGUGGCUGCUAAGAGAUCAAAUCAACGCAGCUUUUUGAUUCUUCGAUGUCGGCUCUUCCUAUCCUAGUGUCGCAUAAGUCACUAAGGGUUGGAUUGUUCACCCGUAUUAGGGAUCGUGAGCUGGGUUUAGACCGUCGUGAGCCAGGUUUGUUUUAUCCUACUGGAUACUCCAUCAUGAUAGUAGAUUGAUUUAGUACGAGAGGAACUGUUGAUUAUGGCCUCUGGUUCAGCGAUUAUGGGAAACCAUACGUCGCGCAGCUACGCCGUCUGGGAUAAUGGCUGAAGGCCUCUUAAGCCAGAAACUCAUCUAGAGACUGAUGGAUGGUGGUAUCAUCCGCGGCAAGAUAAACUUUAUAGCGGAAAAGCCACUAAGGUAACCCAAUGUAGAAGACGUUGU
Molecule: ribosomal RNA, 2706 nt
Filed under: gut metagenome
Description: eukaryotic LSU rRNA
Rfam family: Eukaryotic large subunit ribosomal RNA
Source: RNAcentral